UGAGGAAUAUUGGUCAAUGGACGAGAGUCUGAACCAGCCAAGUAGCGUGCAGGAUGACGGCCCUAUGGGUUGUAAACUGCUUUUGUUUGGGAAUAAUCGACAUUACGUGUAAUGUUUUGCAUGUACCAUUCGAAUAAGGACCGGCUAAUUCCGUUCCAGCAGCCGCGGUAAUACGGAAGGUCCAGGCGUUAUCCGGAUUUAUUGGGUUUAAAGGGAGUGUAGGCGGUUGGUUAAGCGUGUUGUGAAAUGUAGAUGCUCAACAUCUGACUUGCAGCGCGAACUGGCUGACUUGAGUACAAACAACGUAGGCGGAAUUCAUGGUGUAGCGGUGAAAUGCUUAGAUAUCAUGAAGAACUCCGAUUGCGAAGGCAGCUUACGGGAGCGCAACUGACGCUGAAGCUCGAAGGUGCGGGUAUCGAACAGG
RNAcentral lists this ribosomal RNA (424 nucleotides) under Verrucomicrobiota bacterium. RNAcentral's name for it is "Verrucomicrobia bacterium partial 16S ribosomal RNA". It matches the Rfam family "Bacterial small subunit ribosomal RNA", at positions 355 to 776 of the family's 1533-position model. Lineage: Bacteria; Pseudomonadati; Verrucomicrobiota. The record is from RNAcentral.